RNAcentral lists this long non-coding RNA (5255 nucleotides) under Ananas comosus (pineapple). RNAcentral's name for it is "long non-coding RNA (ACOM_LNC037912)". Lineage: Eukaryota; Viridiplantae; Streptophyta; Magnoliopsida; Poales; Bromeliaceae. The record is from RNAcentral.
UACGACGCCUUCGACUUCCUCGAGGACGCCCGCGGCGGCGGUGGGGGAGGGGGAGGGGGGCGCGCUCUCGUCCACUGCGUCCGCGGCGCGUCGCGCUCCGCGGCCAUCGUCGUCGCCUACCUCAUGUGGCGCCACGCGAUCCCCUUCGACGCCGCGCUCCGCCGCGUCAAGGCCGCGCGCGCCGCCGCCGACCCCAACCUCGGCUUCGCCGCGCAGCUGCUGCGGCGCCAGCCCCGCCCCGGCGCCGCCAACUCCCCCGGCUCCGCGCGCCGCGUCCUCCGCCUCGCGCCGCACUCGCCCUGCGCCCCGCUCCACCUCGUCCCCAAAACCGCGCUCCCCUCCUCCUCCUCCUCCGGCGCCUCCGCCGCGGAGCUCCUCGACUCCCGCGGCGCGUUCCUCGUCCACGUCCCCGCCGCGGUCUACGUGUGGCUCGGCGCCGCGUGCGAGCCCGCCAUGGCCGCGGCCGCCGCUAGGGCUGCGGCCCAGGUGGUGCGCUACGAGCGGGUGGCGGGCCCCGUCGUCACCGUCCGGGAGGGCGCCGAGCCCCCCGAUUUCUGGAGCGCCAUCGCCGCCGAGCCCUCGGUUCCCGACCCCUCCAAGGCCGGGAAGCGGAGGGUGGAGCUCUACGACCUCGACUUCGAGAUCUUCCAUCACGCGCUCAAGUCCCCGAAUGAGGAAGCGGCGGAGAGCACCACCCCGUCCUCGUCGUCGGCCGACUCGGCUUCCACCUUCUCUCCGGCCUCGUCCUCUUCUUCCGAUUGGUAUAAUUCUCCUUCCACACCUGGCCACUCCACAAUCCAGCUGGGUCCCAAGUUGCCCUCUUUCCGUACAAGAACGGAGAAUGAGAAAGCUUCGACCUUUCCAUCUGAUGCUGCAGAUACUAAAACAAGGGCUCAAUCCCUCGCCGAACGCAGAGGAGGCAUUACCCCUUCGUUGGUUUUGUUAGCGCCACCAGAUGCGGAGAAGGAACAGCCGUCGCCGCAAGAAUUCCAACACGAUUGGUGCUUAUCUCCUGCAUUCAUCCCGGACGUGGAAGUAGAUGAAGAGGAAGAAGGUGACUCUAUGUGUAUCGAUCAUCAGCUUUCGUUAAACCCUUCGAACCAGUUGAAUUUGGAUGCGAUCGAAGAAGACAUAGAAGAAGAAGAAGGGAGUAGUCAAUUGAUUCAUCCGAUCCUUUUCCGGUGGCCCGAAAUGGACAAAAUGGAGGAAAUCCAUCCGGGGGUGCUCGAUUCAAGAUCAGUAUUCUUAAUGGUGGCUCCGAAUUCCAGGAAAGGUGUGCGAAAGCCGACGUCGAAGAUUUUGUACAUAUGGUUAGGAAGUGGAAGUGAAUUGAGCGAAGGGGAUGUAGAAAAAGUUAGAGAUGUGUGUUCGAGCAAGACCGGCAUCGAUGUUCUCGAUCUGAUUGGGAUCCCCCCUGAUACUCCCGUGGAGGUACGCAAUAAGUUGUUCGUGUUGAUGAAUGGCAUACCUGAAUCAAUCUUUUAUUUGAAAUCUUUUACAUAUCAAUUAUUGUGUCUGCGAAUUAUUUUUUGCUAAUAAUAGAUGUCCUUAUAUCUGCAACUUCGCUUAAUCAUAUAGAAAUUGGUCAUCCAUCUUAAAACUAUUAAUUUAAUAAUUUAAUGUGAGCAAAAGUUUCUGUUUUGGAAAAGAAGUGUUGUUGAUUUUGUAACUUCUGCGGAAUUUAGCCUAGAUCUCAUGGUCAUAAUUGCUGCUAUUACGAUGUUGGACUUGACUUCAAACCUCUGAUUAUGUGAGAAAUGCAUUAUAUUAAAUGCUCAUCAAAUAAGAUUAUAGCAGCCGGUCAGUAUGUUUGACAAGUCUACUCGAUGGUGACGUGACGUUCCGUUUUACUGAUUUAAGAUGAGUACAGGACAGGAAAUUAAAAAUUAGAUUUCUUGACCUUGUGCAUAGAAUUAAGCAAAGUGGGAGGCCAAAGUUUGAACACUAAGGUUUCACAAAACUAUAUGACUGGUGAUGUGCUAAUCUAACUUUCUAUUUGAAAUGUGUGUCUACCAAACUUCUGUAUGCUAUCUACCGGCGCUCUCUAUUCGUUCAAGUUGACAUUUUGUAUGUAUUUGCCCCUAUUUAAUUUUCGCUGGACAAUUGAGGGAAAAGAUGAUCUAUUAUAGAUGUUUUUGCCGGCAACAAAUGGUUGGGCAAAACGUGGUUAUGGAAAAGAACGUCUUAAUAAUGACUGGGCUAAACAAAUAUCUGCGGUAAAGGAGUUUCUGGGGAUGAGGUUGAAAAACUGUGCUUCCUACAUAAACAAAUGGAUCAUUCAUGUGUUUGGAAUGAACAUUUGCAGCUUGUAGAUUUAAGUAAUUCUUAUCUUCUCUUUAUGCAUUUGUGAGAAUUAACUCACACAAUUUAGUGGACAAAAGGUAGAAAUUCAUUACUAGAAGGAAAAGUUCGUUAAGAUUAAUGUUCGACAGCUGAUCAGUUAGGCUGAAAAGGGCAUCUAUUAAAUUGUUCUAAUGAUUUUGCAGCAUUAUUGCAGGAAAUUUACUGGCUAUAUGCAGAAAUAACACAAUUAUUUGUUAAAUCAGUCCGUCAUGAAUUGACAUUAGACGUGAAAAAACAUUUCUUCUUUCUUGCUUUUUCCAUUGAGACCUCUGCAUCUAAUGUGCUCCAACAUUAGCACAAAAUGGUUGGAUGACAUACUGUCAUUUGCUUCAUUUGGAGGUCAUGAAUUUUUUUCAGUUAGACAGCUUUAGAGGCUAGUGAUAUGUUGGUGUGGGCAUGCCAAAAUGUAUGACUUAAUCUGGAUCUUCUUUAAACUAUAAUUUUAUUAGGGAAGUCCACUUUCUAAUCUAACUUGAACAGACUUGCCCCCAACUUCAUCUCUAGCCUUCAAUUUCUUCCAUAAUGAUAAUUUUAAGCAUUUGUUUCACAUGAUAGCAUUAAUAGUAUGAUGUAGAAUGCAAGGUUUGUCAUGCUAUUCAGCACGGAAGGAAUGUGUCAACCAUUCCAACCUUUUCUGUAAUGUCGCUCUGCAUGUCUGUGCAUUUUCACAUAUCAAUGGGUUUGUGCCAGUGAUGACUGUGUCAAUUGUCGUACAUGCCAGCGAACAUGACGUGUUGAUGCAUGUGCGAUGUCGCUAUUCAAAAGAGGGUGUGCUACAACAAGUAAUCCACUAUAGUAUGCAUCACAUACACAAGGGUAGAAUACUGACGAGUAUGCACUAGUCAGAUGUUUUCACAGAUUUCUUCUUACAUUCAGAGAAAGUUUCUAGUUUUAGAUUUAAUGAACGAUGUCCUGCAGUUGUUUGCUUCAGAGUUUAACCAUAUGAGUUCGUAUAGCAUUUAAUGUUUUUAGCAUGUUGUCAGGGACAAAACCACUCUGUCAUAUUGUCUGACUUGUCUGCUCUUCCUAUUCUACCACCAUGAACACAUGGUUAGUGGAAACAGUUCAUUCUGCUUCAAGAUUAGACUUUUGUUUGGAAUUUCUAUAGAGGAUUGCACGCAUCAUUGUUUUCGCUAUUUAUGAUGCAUGAAUACACCAAGUCUUUAGGUAGCUCCAAACUAAAAUGGAUAUAUAUAUAUAUAUAUAUAUAUAUAUAUAUAUAUAUCCGAAAAUUAACAAAAGAACUGACCAAGAGAAAAAUGGAGCUACAGGGUACUAAAUUAAUACACUUUAAAACACACAAUAAUACUAAAGUGAAGACUUGUGAAAUCACAGGGGUGAUAUUUGAAGUUUUUUUUUCUUCCAAUAAAUCGAAUAAAAUACAUAAAUAACUUAUUCUGCAUAUCAAAUAGGACUUUAAGUAAUGUACAAAUAAGAGUUCAAAGUUUCAAUUUCUAAAAAAAAAUGCCUCCUUAAAUAAUACUAAACUCUACAACAGCAUCUUAAAAGUUUCCUAAUUGAAAGCUUCCAAAGAAGCGGCAUCCAACUGUACUAAAGUUCUAGACUAAGGACGCUUUAAAAUAGAAUUUGAAUAAUCCAAUAUAUUUUAUAACAUUUGAAAUACCUGAUAUAUAUAUAUAUAUAAUUUUUAUAAAAUAAACAAGUACUUUAAGUUUUUGAUAUUUAACGGUCUGACUAAUACUCAACUGUUAGAAAAAAUUAAUAACUAUGCAGAUAUAUAUACGUGAUGUUUUUAAUAAGUGAUAGAAAUGCCAAUGGUAUAAAAAUUAUCUGGGCAGCAGGCGAUGUGCCUAAUGAGAAACAUGCUACGUUAAGAUUCAAAAUCAAAAUUUACCAAAUUAAAACUUUUAAUUUUUUUUUGAGAAAAGGUAGCACGCUAUCCGCUUCAUUAUGGAUAGAUGAAUUAAGCUACAUGAGUGUACAGCCAGGCCCGAAGGGAAAACUUUCAAAUUUGAAAAAAAUUAUUUAAUGAAAUGAAAUGAAGGUGUGGUGCACCGUGCACGCGGGUGCGUGUAAUAAUGCGUCAUCAUCCUUCCUUUUGAAGCUCUUUUAUUGCGAGCGUUUACUCGUCGUCGGCUUAGUUCGCUCAUUUUCCCAUUAAAAACCCCACUCUCCUCCGCGCUUUGCCCAAACGCUUAAACUUAGCCCGGAAUAGGAGAAUGAUGAGAAACUCGGAAUAACUCUCCCUCGCCGGAAUAAGCACACGAACUACCAAUAUCUACAGAUGAGCGACGGCGGCCGCACGCGUCCACCUCGGGUGAUAUCUCACCCCGAGGAAAUCCUUCUGGCGCUCGCCUCCUGACCGCGCCGGUCCCGGCCGACCGCGCCGGGCGCGCAACCGAACCCGGGGCCGGCCGCCAAAGGCGGCCGGCUUGCUCCGUCCGCCGCCCUUGUCGGGAUGGCCCGGCAGGCGUCGGACGACUCGGGCCGACCCGUCCGCGUCGGGCUGGCGCACACCCGACGCGGCGGACCUGUCCCGCGUGGCCGACCACGUACCUGGGAGCGACGCGGCGGCGCGGGACAGGGAACGCGCUGCGGCGGCACGGGAUCAAGUCACGUGCUGAACUGCGUGCGGCGCCGCGUGCCUGCGGACUACUUCGCGGGAGGGGACUUGGUGUACAAAAAGACGCGCGUGGCUCCACGACUCCCGCCGCCGAGGACCUCUCCCCGUCUCCUACGACGCCUUCGACUCCUCGAGACGCCCGCGGCGGCGCGGGGGGGAGGGGAGGGGGCGCGCUCUCGUCCACUGCGUCCGCGGCGCGUCGCGCUCCGCGGCCAUCGUCGUCGCCUACCUCAUGUGGCGCCACGCGAUCCCCUUCGACGCCGCGCUCCGCCGCGUCAAGGCGCGCGCGCCGCCGCCGACCCCAACCUCGGCUUCGCCGCGCAGCUGC